AUUGUCUUGUCAAUGUACCGAACCAUUUGAUCUGCACUGAGGGGAUUACCUUGAUGGCGCCUGCUGUUCCUCUCACGCCAAAUACUAUGGAUGCUAGCUUGGAGAGCAAGCUUCAGAAGACAUGUAUCAAUCUCCCUCCUGCGAGGAGAUAGAAGAGAUGCGACGGUGAUAUUCCAAUCAGGAUUCAUACGAGAACCCAAGAGGAACC
This 208-nucleotide long non-coding RNA is filed under the name Brassica rapa (field mustard). Its description in RNAcentral is "long non-coding RNA (BRAP_LNC007605)". The record is from RNAcentral. Lineage: Eukaryota; Viridiplantae; Streptophyta; Magnoliopsida; Brassicales; Brassicaceae.